This 433-nucleotide ribosomal RNA is filed under the name uncultured bacterium. RNAcentral's name for it is "partial 16S ribosomal RNA". It matches the Rfam family "Bacterial small subunit ribosomal RNA", at positions 29 to 507 of the family's 1533-position model. The record is from RNAcentral.
AACGAACGCUGGCGGCAUGCCUAACACAUGCCAGUCGAACGAGACCUUCGGGUCUAGUGGCGCACGGGUGCGUAACGCGUGGGAACCUGCCCUUAGGUUCGGAAUAACUCCCCGAAAGGGGUGCUAAUACCGGAUAAUGUCUUCGGACCAAAGAUUUAUCGCCUUUGGAUGGGCCCGCGUUGGAUUAGCUAGUUGGUAGGGUAAAAGCCUACCAAGGCGACGAUCCAUAGCUGGUCUGAGAGGAUGAUCAGCCACACUGGGACUGAGACACGGCCCAGACUCCUACGGGAGGCAGCAGUGGGGAAUAGUGGAAAAUGGGCGAGAGCCUGAUCCAGCAAUGCCGCGUGAGUGAUGAAGGCCUUAGGGUUGUAAAGCUCUAUUACCCGGGAUGAUAAUGACAGUACCGGGAGAAUAAGCCCCGGCUAACUCCGUG